RNAcentral lists this ribosomal RNA (497 nucleotides) under uncultured bacterium. Its description in RNAcentral is "partial 16S ribosomal RNA". It matches the Rfam family "Bacterial small subunit ribosomal RNA", at positions 28 to 507 of the family's 1533-position model. The record is from RNAcentral.
GAUGAACGCUGGCGGCGUGCCUAAUACAUGCAAGUCGAGCGAACGGACGAGAAGCUUGCUUCUCUGAUGUUAGCGGCGGACGGGUGAGUAACACGUGGAUAACCUACCUAUAAGACUGGGAUAACUUCGGGAAACCGGAGCUAAUACCGGAUGAUAUUUUGAACCGCAUGGUUCAAAAGUGAAAGACGGUCUUGCUGUCACUUAUAGAUGGAUCCGCGCUGCAUUAGCUAGUUGGUAAGGUAACGGCUUACCAAGGCAACGAUGCAUAGCCGACCUGAGAGGGGGAUCGGCCACACUGGAACUGAGACACGGUCCAGACUCCUACGGGAGGCAGCAGUAGGGAAUCUUACGCAAUGGGCGAAAGCCUGACGGAGCAACGCCGCGUGAGUGAUGAAGGUCUUCGGAUCGUAAAACUCUGUUAUUAGGGAAGAACAUAUGUGGAAGUAACUGUGCACAUCUUGACGGUACCGAAUCAGAAAGCCACGGCUAACUACGUG